UUAAGCGACUAAGCGUACACGGUGGAUGCCCUGGCAGUCAGAGGCGAUGAAGGACGUGCUAAUCUGCGAUAAGCGUCGGUAAGGUGAUAUGAACCGUUAUAACCGGCGAUUUCCGAAUGGGGAAACCCAGUGUGAUUCGUCACACUAUCAUUAACUGAAUCCAUAGGUUAAUGAGGCGAACCGGGGGAACUGAAACAUCUAAGUACCCCGAGGAAAAGAAAUCAACCGAGAUUCCCCCAGUAGCGGCGAGCGAACGGGGAGNNNNNNNCACAUAUUGUGAGCUCGAUGAGUAGGGCGGGACACGUGGUAUCCUGUCUGAAUAUGGGGGGACCAUCCUCCAAGGCUAAAUACUCCUGACUGACCGAUAGUGAACCAGUACCGUGAGGGAAAGGCGAAAAGAACCCCGGCGAGGGGAGUGAAAAAGAACCUGAAACCGUGUACGUACAAGCAGUGGGAGCACGCUUAGGCGUGUGACUGCGUACCUUUUGUAUAAUGGGUCAGCGACUUAUAUUCUGUAGCAAGGUUAACCGAAUAGGGGAGCCGAAGGGAAACCGAGUCUUAACUGGGCGUUAAGUUGCAGGGUAUAGACCCGAAACCCGGUGAUCUAGCCAUGGGCAGGUUGAAGGUUGGGUAACACUAACUGGAGGACCGAACCGACUAAUGUUGAAAAAUUAGCGGAUGACUUGUGGCUGGGGGUGAAAGGCCAAUCAAACCGGGAGAUAGCUGGUUCUCCCCGAAAGCUAUUUAGGUAGCGCCUCGUGAAUUCAUCUCCGGGGGUAGAGCACUGUUUCGGCAAGGGGGUCAUCCCGACUUACCAACCCGAUGCAAACUGCGAAUACCGGAGAAUGUUAUCACGGGAGACACACGGCGGGUGCUAACGUCCGUCGUGAAGAGGGAAACAACCCAGACCGCCAGCUAAGGUCCCAAAGUCAUGGUUAAGUGGGAAACGAUGUGGGAAGGCCCAGACAGCCAGGAUGUUGGCUUAGAAGCAGCCAUCAUUUAAAGAAAGCGUAAUAGCUCACUGGUCGAGUCGGCCUGCGCGGAAGAUGUAACGGGGCUAAACCAUGCACCGAAGCUGCGGCAGCGACGCUUAUGCGUUGUUGGGUAGGGGAGCGUUCUGUAAGCCUGCGAAGGUGUGCUGUGAGGCAUGCUGGAGGUAUCAGAAGUGCGAAUGCUGACAUAAGUAACGAUAAAGCGGGUGAAAAGCCCGCUCGCCGGAAGACCAAGGGUUCCUGUCCAACGUUAAUCGGGGCAGGGUGAGUCGACCCCUAAGGCGAGGCCGAAAGGCGUAGUCGAUGGGAAACAGGUUAAUAUUCCUGUACUUGGUGUUACUGCGAAGGGGGGACGGAGAAGGCUAUGUUGGCCGGGCGACGGUUGUCCCGGUUUAAGCGUGUAGGCUGGUUUUCCAGGCAAAUCCGGAAAAUCAAGGCUGAGGCGUGAUGACGAGGCACUACGGUGCUGAAGCAACAAAUGCCCUGCUUCCAGGAAAAGCCUCUAAGCAUCAGGUAACAUCAAAUCGUACCCCAAACCGACACAGGUGGUCAGGUAGAGAAUACCAAGGCGCUUGAGAGAACUCGGGUGAAGGAACUAGGCAAAAUGGUGCCGUAACUUCGGGAGAAGGCACGCUGAUAUGUAGGUGAAGUCCCUUGCGGAUGGAGCUGAAAUCAGUCGAAGAUACCAGCUGGCUGCAACUGUUUAUUAAAAACACAGCACUGUGCAAACACGAAAGUGGACGUAUACGGUGUGACGCCUGCCCGGUGCCGGAAGGUUAAUUGAUGGGGUCAGCGCAAGCGAAGCUCUUGAUCGAAGCCCCGGUAAACGGCGGCCGUAACUAUAACGGUCCUAAGGUAGCGAAAUUCCUUGUCGGGUAAGUUCCGACCUGCACGAAUGGCGUAAUGAUGGCCAGGCUGUCUCCACCCGAGACUCAGUGAAAUUGAACUCGCUGUGAAGAUGCAGUGUACCCGCGGCAAGACGGAAAGACCCCGUGAACCUUUACUAUAGCUUGACACUGAACAUUGAGCCUUGAUGUGUAGGAUAGGUGGGAGGCUUUGAAGUGUGGACGCCAGUCUGCAUGGAGCCGGCCUUGAAAUACCACCCUUUAAUGUUUGAUGUUCUAACGUGGACCCGUGAUCCGGGUUGCGGACAGUGUCUGGUGGGUAGUUUGACUGGGGCGGUCUCCUCCUAAAGAGUAACGGAGGAGCACGAAGGUUGGCUAAUCCUGGUCGGACAUCAGGAGGUUAGUGCAAUGGCAUAAGCCAGCUUGACUGCGAGCGUGACGGCGCGAGCAGGUGCGAAAGCAGGUCAUAGUGAUCCGGUGGUUCUGAAUGGAAGGGCCAUCGCUCAACGGAUAAAAGGUACUCCGGGGAUAACAGGCUGAUACCGCCCAAGAGUUCAUAUCGACGGCGGUGUUUGGCACCUCGAUGUCGGCUCAUCACAUCCUGGGGCUGAAGUAGGUCCCAAGGGUAUGGCUGUUCGCCAUUUAAAGUGGUACGCGAGCUGGGUUUAGAACGUCGUGAGACAGUUCGGUCCCUAUCUGCCGUGGGCGCUGGAGAACUGAGGGGGGCUGCUCCUAGUACGAGAGGACCGGAGUGGACGCAUCACUGGUGUUCGGGUUGUCAUGCCAAUGGCACUGCCCGGUAGCUAAAUGCGGAAGAGAUAAGUGCUGAAAGCAUCUAAGCACGAAACUUGCCCCGAGAUGAGUUCUCCCUGACCCUUUAAGGGUCCUGAAGGAACGUUGAAGACGACGACGUUGAUAGGCCGGGUGUGUAAGCGCAGCGAUGCGUUGAGCUAACCGGUACUAAUGAACCGUGAGGCUUAACCUU
RNAcentral lists this ribosomal RNA (2822 nucleotides) under Shigella sonnei. RNAcentral's name for it is "bacterial LSU rRNA". It matches the Rfam family "Bacterial large subunit ribosomal RNA". The record is from RNAcentral. Lineage: Bacteria; Pseudomonadati; Pseudomonadota; Gammaproteobacteria; Enterobacterales; Enterobacteriaceae.